This is a long non-coding RNA of Chlorocebus sabaeus (green monkey), 1427 nucleotides long. RefSeq lists it as uncharacterized. The record is from RefSeq and is a predicted model, not a curated record. Lineage: Eukaryota; Metazoa; Chordata; Mammalia; Primates; Cercopithecidae.
UUCCACCAUGAUUGUAAGUUUCCUGAGGCUUCCGUCACCAUGUGAAACUUAAAGAAAAUGGACUUUACGUUGGUAAAGGUGAAACAACAUACAAAGAGAACUGAAACUUGAGAUGGUACUUGUAUGCCUGAGAGACCAAAAUGCUGAUUCAGUUUACCUUCCUGGAAACUGUAAAACUAACCAAUUAGAGGAUCAGGUCAUUGAGAAGAAGAAACUUGCCCAACCUAAAAUGCACCUCUUUAAGAGGACCCAGUAGGAGAGAUCUGCCCUUGAAAUGCUAAAAUGGGGAAAACAGCUUGAGAAUGUUAUGAGGCAAGACAGACUGACGUGAAAGAUAUUUUCAUCUCUGUGCACUUGGUGCCAACUCAAGGCCAAGUUAGGAAAACAGUCCACGAUGUACUGUAAAGUAAUACUGAAUGGAACAGGUGAGUUAAGAAUGGAGUAAGAAUGGAAAAGUGAGUCAGACAUAAAGUCACAACACCCUGAAUUUGUCCUCAAGAUAAUUAUCAGUGGCAUUAAUUGGCAAAUUUCUGUUACUAUUUAAUAGUAAACUAAUUAAUACUAGAAAUAUUUGCAUUUUGUGGAGAGAACAAAUGUUCUCAGUAUAAAACUAAAUGGGGAAGUGGAAUUUAGUUUCAAACUCUGACCCAUCUCUUAAAUCACUCAUUUCUAUUUCAAGCUGAAGGAGAGAAAAAAUAUUGUGCAUGAGACCUAUAAGAAUUUAGAGUGCUUAUCAGGAAAAGGAGAGUGUUCUGCUAAUAAGGGUUUUAUUUAAAUUUACUAAGGGAAAGUGUAUUUUCUGCUUCUAUGGCAAUUUUUCUGUAUGACUACUUUCUAACAAAAAUGAAAUCUUUCUGUCCAAAAUAGGUGAGUGCCUUAAAUGAGAGAGCCUAUAUCAUAGUCUUUGAUUGUUGAUCCUGUUUUUACAUGACCUUGGAACCAUCUCAGGUUCUUAAUUCUUAGCUUUUCCUUUACAUAACUAUAAAAAUGGAGAUGAUAAAAUGCUGAAAAGUUUUAAAUGUUUGUAUGUGUUUGUUUACUUUGUUCUGGGAUUCCCGAGUGGGCAUUUUUAUCUCUAUGAAAUAUUACUACACUGGGAACUUAAAAAUACAGGGGCAGAUUCAGGGGGCAAUGCCAUAAAAGUGAAGACAACCUUGAUGAAACAGAACUUUAAAAGUAUGAACUUUUAAACACUUUAAAGAUAUAUAUCUUAGAAUUAAGCUAAAAAACAUUUUUCUGAAUGUUGAUGAGGGUACAGAGCAAUAGAGCUUCUUAUAUACUGCCAGAGUGGCAUGUAGUGGUAACAUCUUUCUCGAAAGUAAUUUAUCAACAUGUGUCAAGAACUUUAAAAAUGUUUUUAAGCCAGGUGUGGUGGCUUAUGCCUGAAUUCUAGCACUUCAGGAGGCUAAGGCAGGUGGAUCACUUGA